CCUACGGGCGGCUGCAGUGGGGAAUAUUGGACAAUGGGCGAAAGCCUGAUCCAGCCAUGCCGCGUGUGUGAAGAAGGCCUUCGGGUUGUAAAGCACUUUCAGUGGGGAAGAAAGCCUUGGGGCUAAUACCCUCGAGGAAGGACAUCACCCACAGAAGAAGCACCGGCUAACUCUGUGCCAGCAGCCGCGGUAAUACGGAGGGUGCGAGCGUUAAUCGGAAUUACUGGGCGUAAAGCGCGCGUAGGCGGUCUGAUAAGCCGGUUGUGAAAGCCCCGGGCUCAACCUGGGAACGGCAUCCGGAACUGUCAGGCUAGAGUGCAGGAGAGGAAGGUAGAAUUCCCGGUGUAGCGGUGAAAUGCGUAGAGAUCGGGAGGAAUACCAGUGGCGAAGGCGGCCUUCUGGACUGACACUGACGCUGAGGUGCGAAAGCGUGGGUAGCAAACAGGAUUAGAUACCCGGGUAGUC
This 465-nucleotide ribosomal RNA is filed under the name Vreelandella stevensii. Its description in RNAcentral is "partial 16S ribosomal RNA". It matches the Rfam family "Bacterial small subunit ribosomal RNA", at positions 338 to 795 of the family's 1533-position model. Lineage: Bacteria; Pseudomonadati; Pseudomonadota; Gammaproteobacteria; Oceanospirillales; Halomonadaceae. The record is from RNAcentral.